This 337-nucleotide ribosomal RNA is filed under the name uncultured bacterium. RNAcentral describes it as "bacterial SSU rRNA". It matches the Rfam family "Bacterial small subunit ribosomal RNA", at positions 8 to 350 of the family's 1533-position model. The record is from RNAcentral.
AGAGUUUGAUCCUGGCUCAGGAUGAACGCUGGCGGCGUGCCUAAUACAUGCAAGUCGAACGCUUCACAUAUGUGAAGAGUGGCGAACGGGUGAGUAAUACAUAAGUAACCUGGCCUUUACAGGGGGAUAACUGUUGGAAACGAUAGCUAAGACCGCAUAGGUGUCAUAACCGCAUGGAGAUGAUAUGAAAUAUGCUACGGCAUAGGUAGAGGAUGGACUUAUGGCGCAUUAGCUAGUUGGAGGGGUAACGGCCACCAAGGCGACGAUGCGUAGCCGACCUGAGAGGGUGACCGGCCACACUGGGACUGAGACACGGCCCAGACUCCUACGGGAGGCA